RNAcentral lists this ribosomal RNA (253 nucleotides) under uncultured bacterium. RNAcentral's name for it is "partial 16S ribosomal RNA". The stretch from base 27 to 253 matches the Rfam family "Bacterial small subunit ribosomal RNA", at positions 550 to 776 of the family's 1533-position model. The record is from RNAcentral.
UACCAGCACCCCGAGUGGUCGGGACGAUUAUUGGGCCUAAAGCAUCCGUAGCCGGUUUUACAAGUCCUCCGUUAAAUCCAACUGCUUAACAGAUGGGCCGCGGAGGAUACUAUAAGACUAGGAGGCAGGAGAGGGUAGUGGAUUUCCCGGUGUAGUGGUGAAAUGCGUAGGUAUCGGGAGGAACACCAGUGGCGAAGGCGACUACCUGGCCUGUUCUUGACGCUGAGGCGCGAAAGCUAGGGGAGCAAACGGG